CACAGGGGUUUUCAUGUGGCGGUCACUGAGGUUCGGGCACUCCCGGGGCGUCCCCGAGGGAGCUCCCAGUGCUGGGGCACAGGGCAGGGCAGGCCGGAGCGCUCCCGGCGCUGAGGGGGAGCUCGGUCUGUGCCCUGCGGGGUGACCGGGGUGUCCCACCGGGGUGUCCCACGGGUAUUCCCAAGAACCUGUAUAAAACCUUAGAAAACAGACGUAACCAGAGGUCCUUUUAGAAGCUGGCCCUGCUUUUCUGUGUUUUCUUACACGCUGGUAGUCCUUCCUCUUCCACUUGUAAUGUAGUUUGCAUAAAUGGGCAGGGUUAUUUAACUGGCUUUUAACCACCCCGUCCACAUCAGAGGUGAAAUUGCUAGUUUAAAUUUCUCCUGAAAUUAAAAACCAGUUUCUUGCCAUGGGAAAUGCUCUCUUCUUUAGCACGUGCUUCUUUUGUGGUAUUUGCUGUGUAAAUCUCUAACCAAUUUAUUUGCCUUGUGGAGACAGUAGGAAUUUCAAAUGUGAGUGGAAAAUGCAAUAUGAGUAACAGUUUUUUGGGGUUUUCCCCUCCCCUCCUUGAUUCAAGGGCUUUCAUCUGGCUGCUCUCCCUGCUUUCCUCCUCUCUGUGGUUUGUCGCUGUGCAGAUUGGUGGGAGCCACUGAGCAUCAGUGUGGAAAAAUGUGCUCAUCUUUGGAGUGGUGUUUUCUGUGCUGCCCCAGGAGCUGUUCUGGUUUGCCUACAACAGGUUUGGAAAAUUGUUGGUGAGUACCUGCAGCUGAUGUGAAUGAUGAGGCACACAUUCCUUCAGCUGAGGCAGAGUGCUUCCCAUGCACUGGCAGUUGCUCUGCAUUUCUGUGUGCUCAGAACUGAAGAGAGUCAACAGUGGCUCCUUUGUGUCCUGGGAUCCCACAGAAGCUCCGUGCAGUUCCAGUUUUCUUGUAGAAUUUCAGCAGUUCUGAUUACUUGCAGAUAAUAAAAAAGCAGUGGUUGGUGGUGGUGCUGAUUUUCUGAGCCACUUGAUGGCAUCAAGUCCUGUGUCAAGGAUGUUGCCUGCAAAAGAGAGUGAUUGAUGGAUGUUUUUAAUCAGUUGAGCUGAAGAUUAAAAUACACAAUAAAAUGUUACUCUUCAAGAAGAAACAAGAGAAACCAAAGAAAAAGCAUAAAAAUUUAUUAUUUGAUCUUGUCUUUAAACACCUUUAUUCAAACAGAGCCACAAGGCUACUGCAAGGAUGGUGAGGACUGCCAGGAUGAAGGCUAUCACAGCAGACACAACAAAACCUAGCAAGGGAGGGAAAGCAUCCAGAACCGUCAAUAUCCUUGAUUGAGAGGAGAAGGUUAGUGCCUAAGGUGUCAUAACAUUUGCAUUCUGCAGCUGCAGCUUUCCUGCAGCCUGUUCUGUGAUUCUGGAGUGGGUAACUUUGCACAGAUGUGCCCUGGAAGGUCCUGCUCCCACAGCUGGAUCCACAGCUCACCGUGCUGGGAAGUCAGACACACACUGGAGUCACAGCACCAACAUGCACAGGCAGAGAGGCAGAACACCACUGAGUGUGGACAGCUGAGAAGUGAUCUGCUUUGCUGUUGAGAAUAUUACUUAAAGGCACUGAAGAAGGUGAGGGGCUGCACCUGUGAGGGAGCCUUUGUGACUGUGGUGAGAGGAAUGUGAGAUUACAGGGGCCAUGAAUACCUUUUCUGAAAUGGGUUGAACAUUUUUUCUAUGGUUCACUGAUAGAGUCAAUGAGCUUCUGUAAUUAAAUGUUGUUGGACUGAAUGGAGUUUCUAUUCAAGGAGCACUGAGCAGCCUCUUUCAUAGCCAUAAAGACCAGUUCUUGGGUAAGAACAGCAGGAUGGGCAAUAAGCCACACCAUUUAACUCUGCUAAGUCAUGCCAGCUUUAAAGAGACAUUGAAAAUGUUUCUGUAGCUGGUGUCACCUCUGCAUGGGAGCCAAAUAAUGUGGCUUAGCAGAGGGGGAGCCAAAUGUUAUUAUUGGGUUUGGCACUGGUUCACAGCAACAACUUUGAGAAAGUCACAUCUGGGUCAGAUUUCCCCCCACGGAUGGAAAUAAUGCUUAUGCUAUUUCUGUGAAGUGUUUGGAGAUUCCUGGAUGAAAAUACAGUGUCUGAUUUUCAGUUACUGGGAUCAUGGAUUGUAACUCUCUACCUUCUACUUUUAAGUACUGAGUGUGAUUUACAGAAAGAAUGUAAGUCAAUGCUGAAAAGUGCACUUAAGGAACAGAUGGAUAAGUGCAUUUCUCAUUUCUGACUGACCAGUCUGACUCAGAAAACCACUAGCUCUUGGGUGUGGUUAGGAAUCAACAACAUAUCCCUGCCAAGUCCACCAGGUAUUGAAUUUUGAUAAAUUUUGAUAAAUUGAUAAAUUUUGAUAAAUUUCAAUAAUUACUAAUUAUGUGCAUUAAUUCCAGAGAAGGCACUCAAAAGAAACUUCAUGGUAGUUCCACUUACAGGAAGCUUUAGAAAGAUUUUAAGGUGUUGCCAUGAGAACUGAAAUGGUCCCCAGCCACAGGAGGGCUUGUGAAAUUGUCUCUGGGUUUUAUCUCAAAGAUGGAGAUUUGCUUCAAGUAAGGGCCAAACGCUGCUGAUGCCUCCCACUGCUCUGGCUGGGAGUUUGGUGCAGCUGACCUGGCAGGAGGUCAGCCACCUCUGGGGGACAAGGCUAAAGCAUCACUGAUUGCAGAGAAAUGUUUUGCAUGGGUUUUUUUUGGCUGAUCUCUGCUUUUCACUCUUCUUUAUAGCUUUGCAUCAGAAGAUAUCUGUUAUGAAAUGGUCUGUCUGCAGGGGGGAAUGGCAAGAACAGUUACUGCAGGGAACUGUCCCUGCAGUGGCUGCUGUGUGACAUUUCUGAACAUACACAACUCCUGUGCUUUCUGUUCUUUCAUCUAAACGGUGAAGAAGCUGCCAGGCGAAGGUGAAAUGAUGUCCUAACACAUUUUAUUAAUUUGAAAGUUUACUGCUUGGCCAAUCUUUUUUGUGCUGUCUCCUUUUUCUUUUAGAAAUCUUUUAGUCUCCAUUUCAAACAGUAGAGGGGCUUGCCUAGACUCCUCUGCCCUCAGUGUGUGUGCCACCUUCACAGACGCCUGAGAGUAUUUGUUUGCAAGACAACAAAGAAUUUGGAACAAUACCUUUUGCACAAACAAUAUACUCCAAUGCCUUCCUGUGGGUACAGCUCAGCUCCUCACCACAGGUGCAGACUUUUGUGCAAACCCCCCACCAAACCUAUGCAUUGCCAUUGUGUAACCCUGCAUAAUUAAGCUUUUAAAUCAGUUUUUCCUCAUAAGAUGACCUUUUUUUUUAUUUGUAACACUGGAUCACACAAUCCAGUGUUAUGAAUUAUUUUUAUUUGUCAAGUUUGAAUUCCUCAGGGACCUCCUCUGAUUCUGUGUGAUUUCCCCAAAACAGUGUCCCUGAAAGGCAGAGUUGUGAUUCCCUUUAAGUGUGUGGUCUGCUUAAAACCAAGCCUGACACUGCUGAGAACCAGCAAACAUCACUGGUGAGGCAAGGCCAGCUUAAGGUGUUCAGUCUUUGUAGUGGCAGCAAAUACUUCUGCUAAGCAUCAGAAGGCCAAAUGCGUUUUUCUUCUUUUACCUCCUUGCCUUUGAUCAGAAGGGUUGCAGGUCUUGCCUGACACCCCCUGUGGAAAAAAUAAUUCUUAUGUACUCUGUGAGUGCCUUAUUCUUGUACAGCUGCCCAUGCAACAGUGCAGUAAGAGAAGAAAAGGGAGCAAAGGGAUCUGCUGGAAA
Pseudopipra pipra is the source of this 3746-nucleotide long non-coding RNA. RefSeq lists it as uncharacterized. The record is from RefSeq and is a predicted model, not a curated record. Lineage: Eukaryota; Metazoa; Chordata; Aves; Passeriformes; Pipridae. The transcript is spliced from 7 exons.